CUUCCGUAGGUGAACCUGCGGAAGGAUCAUU
RNAcentral lists this ribosomal RNA (31 nucleotides) under Venturia inaequalis. RNAcentral's name for it is "partial 18S ribosomal RNA". Lineage: Eukaryota; Fungi; Ascomycota; Dothideomycetes; Venturiales; Venturiaceae. The record is from RNAcentral. RNAcentral also lists the same sequence under 12 other names.